CACAGUGCUUCUUUGUUCGUCGGG
This 24-nucleotide non-coding RNA is filed under the name Cricetulus griseus (Chinese hamster). The record is from RNAcentral. Lineage: Eukaryota; Metazoa; Chordata; Mammalia; Rodentia; Cricetidae.